UGUACUCUCACACUCUCUGGUCCUUUGGAUUCAGGGAGCGGUGGACUUGGGUGUUUGCUGCUUUCCUGGUGGCUCACCUCAAAUGCGUUAGUGCACCUCUUGGUUGGACAUAGUACGGCGUGAUAAGUAUCUUCGCCGGCACCUCGCAAGAGGGUGGCCGAUUGGGAGCUCUGUGCUUUCAAACCGUCUUCGGACAAUCUUUGACA
This 206-nucleotide unclassified non-coding RNA is filed under the name uncultured Sebacinaceae. RNAcentral's name for it is "sequence contains ITS2". Lineage: Eukaryota; Fungi; Basidiomycota; Agaricomycetes; Sebacinales; Sebacinaceae. The record is from RNAcentral.